UACGGAGGGAGCUAGCGUUGUUCGGAAUUACUGGGCGUAAAGCGUGCGUAGGCGGUUAUUCAAGUCAGAGGUGAAAGCCCGGGGCUCAACCCCGGAACGGCCUUUGAAACUAGGUAACUAGAAUCUUGGAGAGGUUAGUGGAAUUCCGAGUGUAGAGGUGAAAUUCGUAGAUAUUCGGAAGAACACCAGUGGCGAAGGCGACACACUGGGCCAUUACUGACGCUGAGGCGCGAAAGCGUGGGGAGCAAACAGG
This 253-nucleotide ribosomal RNA is filed under the name uncultured bacterium. RNAcentral's name for it is "partial 16S ribosomal RNA". It matches the Rfam family "Bacterial small subunit ribosomal RNA", at positions 524 to 776 of the family's 1533-position model. The record is from RNAcentral.